AAGUAAGAAGCAAAAAAUUGCGUUUAGUUUCGACCUAAAAUUUUGAUUAUAUUAUCCUUACUUU
This 64-nucleotide transfer RNA is filed under the name Trigonopterus carinirostris. Its description in RNAcentral is "tRNA-Arg". Lineage: Eukaryota; Metazoa; Arthropoda; Insecta; Coleoptera; Curculionidae. The record is from RNAcentral.